RNAcentral lists this ribosomal RNA (471 nucleotides) under Pseudoalteromonas sp. EF3B-B799. RNAcentral's name for it is "bacterial SSU rRNA". It matches the Rfam family "Bacterial small subunit ribosomal RNA", at positions 1 to 475 of the family's 1533-position model. The record is from RNAcentral. Lineage: Bacteria; Pseudomonadati; Pseudomonadota; Gammaproteobacteria; Alteromonadales; Pseudoalteromonadaceae.
UAGAGUUUGGAUCCUGGCUCAGAUUGAACGCUGGCGGCAGGCCUAACACAUGCAAGUCGAGCGGUAACAUUUCUAGCUUGCUAGAAGAUGACGAGCGGCGGACGGGUGAGUAAUGCUUGGGAACAUGCCUUGAGGUGGGGGACAACCAUUGGAAACGAUGGCUAAUACCGCAUAAUGUCUACGGACCAAAGGGGGCUUCGGCUCUCGCCUUUAGAUUGGCCCAAGUGGGAUUAGCUAGUUGGUAAGGUAACGGCUYACCAAGGCGACGAUCCCUAGCUGGUUUGAGAGGAUGAUCAGCCACACUGGAACUGAGACACGGUCCAGACUCCUACGGGAGGCAGCAGUGGGGAAUAUUGCACAAUGGGCGCAAGCCUGAUGCAGCCAUGCCGCGUGUGUGAAGAAGGCCUUCGGGUUGUAAAGCACUUUCAGUCAGGAGGAAAGGUUAGUAGUUAAUACCUGCUAGCUGGACGU